RNAcentral lists this transfer RNA (54 nucleotides) under Neofoleyellides sp. XM-2022. RNAcentral's name for it is "tRNA-Phe". The record is from RNAcentral. Lineage: Eukaryota; Metazoa; Nematoda; Chromadorea; Rhabditida; Onchocercidae.
GCUUAUAUAGUUUAUUUGGAAUUAUAUUUUGAAAAGAUAUAGGAGGUUUAAGCG